RNAcentral lists this ribosomal RNA (253 nucleotides) under uncultured bacterium. RNAcentral's name for it is "partial 16S ribosomal RNA". It matches the Rfam family "Bacterial small subunit ribosomal RNA", at positions 524 to 776 of the family's 1533-position model. The record is from RNAcentral.
UACGUAGGGUGCGAGCGUUAAUCGGAAUUACUGGGCGUAAAGUGUGCGCAGGCGGCCGAGCAAGUCGAGUGUGAAAGCCCCGAGCUUAACUUGGGAACUGCGCUCGAAACUACUUGGCUAGAGUGUGGCAGAGGGAGGUGGAAUUCCACGUGUAGCGGUGAAAUGCGUAGAGAUGUGGAGGAACACCGAUGGCGAAGGCAGCCUCCUGGGACAACACUGACGCUCAUGCACGAAAGCGUGGGGAGCAAACAGG